UACAGAUAUUGGGCUGAAAAACGUUUGUCCAAUCAAAUUCGAGUAUGCAACAGAGAUUAAGAGAGGAAGAAAAAGAUGUUAUGUUGUGUAUCCUACCCGUCAAUGUGUAACAUUCGCAAAGUGCCAGACAAAAAAGAAUUGCUCGAAGACAGCGAAAAGGGGCGUAAAAAGUGCUUGUUUGGCUGACCGAUUCCGUUACUUCAACGUUUGGAUAUUCUGUCCGGACAACCAUAGUUUUGAAUAUGAAACCGUGCUGUUACCUCAAUGCUGUUCUUGCAGAGAAUACAAGCGCUGUUAACAAGCCAUAAACGAAACAGCAUGGAAUACAACUGUUCUAAGGCUGAAAAUGUGUAACUCUCUAGAGUUUCUACAAUAGCUGAGCCUUUAACAUGUUGCAGGAUUUUCUUUUGCUGUUAAAUUACAUCAAUAAAAGCAUUGAUGCUAUGUUAAA
This is a long non-coding RNA of Saccostrea cuccullata (small rock oyster), 451 nucleotides long. RefSeq lists it as uncharacterized. The record is from RefSeq and is a predicted model, not a curated record. The transcript has 2 exons. Lineage: Eukaryota; Metazoa; Mollusca; Bivalvia; Ostreida; Ostreidae.